CUCUUGAUAAGUUUGGGGGUAGUUAUUUUUAUUUUGCAUUAGUAGUUUGUGGAUAAUUUAUGUUUUUAUUUGUGGUUAUUGUUGGUUAAGUGUUGCAUUUAGGAUUGCAUGUUAAUUCCAGCUGUUUGAUAGUUACGUAUGUUUGGGGGCCAAUGAUGAAAUUAAAAUUGCAUGAACAAGUCUAGUAAGGAUUGUUAAGCUAGUGAUACGAUUUUCUUGACAUGAUGUAAAUCAUUAUCUGUUUGACACUAAUAUUAUCAGGAUAGCACAUUUUGAAAAAUGACCAUGUUGGCUAUGAUAGUUUAAAUGGAUAGAUAAUAGACUUCUAAAGGAUGAAUGCUAGUGAAAUAAAGGAACAAUUUGAAUAGCUAGAGAUGACUGAAUUUAGACAUAAACUCAAGUUUGGGGGAAAAAAUAUUUGGAGUAUAUAAGCUUAAAAAAAAUAAAAAUAAAAUAAAAACCGUGGCAUGCUUGUCUAGUUUUGUGGCCUUUGUUACUUGAGUAAGUAAGCCCGAGGGGAUUAUCUCUACACCUAGCGCCCUAAGGUCUUAAUGGCUUGGGAGUCAUUGGUCGAAAGCUCGUUAAGGUAACACUGAAAAGCCUAAGGGAAUAAGACAAUGCAUAGUCAUGAUGAAAAAAAAGAAAAAAAAAGAAAAGCAUUAAUAAAGCGGGAAGAGUGCGAAAAGCCCCCGUUAAUAAUAAUAAAAAGAAGAAGCAUAAGUAUUCCAUUUUGACCCUUGAACUUUGGUAGUUGUUUGAUUUCAGCUGAAUCAAGUUUAUUUGAUGAGUUCUCAAGUUUAUACUAUAUGAUGCCUAAUAAGAAGUCUAUUAUCUUUCAUAUUUUUGCUUUUCAUUGGUUAGCGUGGUUGUUGGACACACUCACGAUAUCAGUAGUAAUAAAUUUAGAUUUGUUGAUUGUGGGGAUAUUAUUGAUCUGCUUUAACAUGAUGUAUUAGAAUGUUUCUGUGGUUUUUCUGAGGCCUAUGGAUAU
RNAcentral lists this long non-coding RNA (991 nucleotides) under Panax ginseng (ginseng). Its description in RNAcentral is "long non-coding RNA (PGIN_LNC002828)". Lineage: Eukaryota; Viridiplantae; Streptophyta; Magnoliopsida; Apiales; Araliaceae. The record is from RNAcentral.